RNAcentral lists this ribosomal RNA (253 nucleotides) under uncultured bacterium. RNAcentral describes it as "partial 16S ribosomal RNA". It matches the Rfam family "Bacterial small subunit ribosomal RNA", at positions 524 to 776 of the family's 1533-position model. The record is from RNAcentral.
UACGGAGGGGGCGAGCGUUAAUCGGAAUUACUGGGCGUAAAGGGUGCGUAGGUGGCCUUCUAAGUUGAACGUGAAAUCCCUGGGCUCAACCCAGGAACUGCGUCCAAGACUGGGAGGCUUGAAUCCGGGAGAGGGAUGCGGAAUUCCAGGUGUAGCGGUGAAAUGCGUAGAUAUCUGGAGGAACACCGGUGGCGAAGGCGGCAUCCUGGACCGGGAUUGACACUGAGGCGCGAAAGCCAGGGGAGCAAACGGG